UACGGGAGGCAGCAGUGAGGAAUAUUGGUCAAUGGACGAGAGUCUGAACCAGCCAAGUAGCGUGAAGGAUGACUGCCCUAUGGGUUGUAAACUUCUUUUAUACGGGAAUAAAGUGAGCCACGUGUGGCUUUUUGUAUGUACCGUAUGAAUAAGGAUCGGCUAACUCCGUGCCAGCAGCCGCGGUAAUACGGAGGAUCCGAGCGUUAUCCGGAUUUAUUGGGUUUAAAGGGAGCGUAGGCGGGUUGUUAAGUCAGUUGUGAAAGUUUGCGGCUCAACCGUAAAAUUGCAGUUGAUACUGGCGACCUUGAGUGCGACAGAGGUAGGCGGAAUUCGUGGUGUAGCGGUGAAAUGCUUAGAUAUCACGAAGAACUCCGAUUGCGAAGGCAGCUUACUGGAUUGUAACUGACGCUGAUGCUCGAAAGUGUGGGUAUCAAACAGGAUUAGAUACCCUGGUAGUCCACACAGUAAACGAUGAAUACUCGCUGUUGGCGAUAUACAGUCAGCGGCCAAGCGAAAGCAUUAAGUAUUCCACCUGGGGAGUACGCCGGCAACGGUGAAACUCAAAGGAAUUGACGGGGGCCCGCACAAGCGGA
This 593-nucleotide ribosomal RNA is filed under the name uncultured bacterium. RNAcentral describes it as "bacterial SSU rRNA". It matches the Rfam family "Bacterial small subunit ribosomal RNA", at positions 340 to 933 of the family's 1533-position model. The record is from RNAcentral.